AUACGGAGGAUCCGAGCGUUAUCCGGAUUUAUUGGGUUUAAAGGGUGCGUAGGUGGUUUGAUAAGUCAGCGGUGAAAGUUUGCAGCUUAACUGCAAAAAUGCCGUUGAAACUGUCGGACUUGAGUGUAAAUGAGGUAGGCGGAAUGCGUGGUGUAGCGGUGAAAUGCAUAGAUAUCACGCAGAACUCCGAUUGCGAAGGCAGCGUACUAAGCUACAACUGACACUGAAGCACGAAAGCGUGGGGAUCAAACAGGAUUAGAUACCCUGGUAGUCCACGCAGUAAACGAUGAUUACUAGCUGUUUGCGAUACACAGUAAGCGGCACAGCGAAAGCGUUAAGUAAUCCACCUGGGGAGUACGCCGGCAACGGUGAAACUCAAAUGAAUUGACGGGG
Molecule: ribosomal RNA, 393 nt
Filed under: uncultured bacterium
Lineage: Bacteria
Description: partial 16S ribosomal RNA
Rfam family: Bacterial small subunit ribosomal RNA
Source: RNAcentral